This is a long non-coding RNA of Cyprinus carpio (common carp), 697 nucleotides long. The record is from Ensembl. NCBI's taxonomy places the organism in Eukaryota, Metazoa, Chordata, Actinopteri, Cypriniformes, Cyprinidae.
AUGGGACGGAUAAAGAGGGGGUUUCUUGUGGUGUGUGCUGAUGUUGACACCUCUGAUGUCUGCUGGUGUAAAGUUGCUGCUGAACAGCAGAUCUUCAUGCUCUUCUCCAGACCCGACCCUCCUCCUCCUCCUCCUGCUCUUCCUGUAGGCCUCGCAGGCCGUGUCCUGCUGUCCUGUAUCUGAUCGGCCUGUUUGGUCACGGAUGAGUGAGCUGCCCGCUCUUCUGCACUUUCUGGUUGCCGGUUGUUUUUGAUGCCCUCGGGGCGCCAUAGCAGUGAGACAAUAUAAACUAAGAGGACAGGAGAAAAUCAAGUCCUUUUGCAUGCUUUAGAAGUGUUUUUAUGCAUGAUGUGAGGCAGCAGCAGCAAAUACAGUACAUCAAUGUUAAAUUAAUAAGAAUCAGUAUUUUUCUAACAAGUAAUAUAGUUGACUAUUUCUCAUGAUCUGUCUGUGAGAUACAAUUGAUACAAUUGUAGCAGUUGUUCACUGCAUUUCACCGUUCUAUAUGAUUCUCUUUGCCCACAUACAGCAAUAUAUUUAAUAAUACAUGUAUUGGAAACUGUGCCAGAAAUUCUUGUUCACAAAUUCUGAUUCAUGUAUUUAUAAUAGUUCAUCUUGCACAUGACGUGAUGCAUUCCGCAAGACUUUCCCCGUUGGCAAUUUGAAUUUGGUCCAAAUAAAAGACGUCUUAUUUUCA